GGGUUGUGAGGUUAAGCGACUAAGCGUACACGGUGGAUGCCCUGGCAGUCAGAGGCGAUGAAGGACGUGCUAAUCUGCGAUAAGCGUCGGUAAGGUGAUAUGAACCGUUAUAGCCGGCGAUUUCCGAAUGGGGAAACCCAGUGUGUUUCGACACACUAUCAUUACGUGAAUACAUAGCGUAAUGAAGCGAACCGGGGGAACUGAAACAUCUAAGUACCCCGAGGAAAAGAAAUCAACCGAGAUUCCCCCAGUAGCGGCGAGCGAACGGGGAGCAGCCCAGAGUCUGAAUCAGCUUGUGUGUUAGUGGAACGGUCUGGAAAGUCCGACGGUACAGGGUGAUAGUCCCGUACACCAAAAUGCACAGGUUGUGAACUCGAAGAGUAGGGCGGGACACGUGGUAUCCUGUCUGAAUAUGGGGGGACCAUCCUCCAAGGCUAAAUACUCCUGACUGACCGAUAGUGAACCAGUACCGUGAGGGAAAGGCGAAAAGAACCCCGGCGAGGGGAGUGAAAAAGAACCUGAAACCGUGUACGUACAAGCAGUGGGAGCCUCUUUAUGGGGUGACUGCGUACCUUUUGUAUAAUGGGUCAGCGACUUAUAUUCUGUAGCAAGGUUAACCGUAUAGGGGAGCCGAAGGGAAACCGAGUCUUAACUGGGCGUUAAGUUGCAGGGUAUAGACCCGAAACCCGGUGAUCUAGCCAUGGGCAGGUUGAAGGUUGGGUAACACUAACUGGAGGACCGAACCGACUAAUGUUGAAAAAUUAGCGGAUGACUUGUGGCUGGGGGUGAAAGGCCAAUCAAACCGGGAGAUAGCUGGUUCUCCCCGAAAGCUAUUUAGGUAGCGCCUCGUGAAUUCAUCUUCGGGGUAGAGCACUGUUUCGGCUAGGGGGUCAUCCCGACUUACCAACCCGAUGCAAACUGCGAAUACCGAAGAAUGUUAUCACGGGAGACACACGGCGGGUGCUAACGUCCGUCGUGAAGAGGGAAACAACCCAGACCGCCAGCUAAGGUCCCAAAGUCAUGGUUAAGUGGGAAACGAUGUGGGAAGGCACAGACAGCCAGGAUGUUGGCUUAGAAGCAGCCAUCAUUUAAAGAAAGCGUAAUAGCUCACUGGUCGAGUCGGCCUGCGCGGAAGAUGUAACGGGGCUAAACCAUGCACCGAAGCUGCGGCAGCGACACUAUGUGUUGUUGGGUAGGGGAGCGUUCUGUAAGCCGUUGAAGGUGGCCUGUGAGGGUUGCUGGAGGUAUCAGAAGUGCGAAUGCUGACAUAAGUAACGAUAAUGCGGGUGAAAAACCCGCACGCCGGAAGACCAAGGGUUCCUGUCCAACGUUAAUCGGGGCAGGGUGAGUCGACCCCUAAGGCGAGGCCGAAAGGCGUAGUCGAUGGGAAACAGGUUAAUAUUCCUGUACUUGGUGUUACUGCGAAGGGGGGACGGAGAAGGCUAUGUUAGCCGGGCGACGGUUGUCCCGGUUUAAGCAUGUAGGCGGAGGUUCCAGGUAAAUCCGGUACCUUUUUAACGCUGAGGUGUGAUGACGAGGCACUACGGUGCUGAAGUAACAAAUGCCCUGCUUCCAGGAAAAGCCUCUAAGCAUCAGGUAACACGAAAUCGUACCCCAAACCGACACAGGUGGUCAGGUAGAGAAUACCAAGGCGCUUGAGAGAACUCGGGUGAAGGAACUAGGCAAAAUGGUGCCGUAACUUCGGGAGAAGGCACGCUGAUAUGUAGGUGAAGUGAUUUACUCAUGGAGCUGAAAUCAGUCGAAGAUACCAGCUGGCUGCAACUGUUUAUUAAAAACACAGCACUGUGCAAACACGAAAGUGGACGUAUACGGUGUGACGCCUGCCCGGUGCCGGAAGGUUAAUUGAUGGGGUUAUCCGUAAGGAGAAGCUCUUGAUCGAAGCCCCGGUAAACGGCGGCCGUAACUAUAACGGUCCUAAGGUAGCGAAAUUCCUUGUCGGGUAAGUUCCGACCUGCACGAAUGGCGUAAUGAUGGCCAGGCUGUCUCCACCCGAGACUCAGUGAAAUUGAACUCGCUGUGAAGAUGCAGUGUACCCGCGGCAAGACGGAAAGACCCCGUGAACCUUUACUAUAGCUUGACACUGAACACUGGUCCUUGAUGUGUAGGAUAGGUGGGAGGCUUUGAAGUGUGGACGCCAGUCUGCAUGGAGCCAUCCUUGAAAUACCACCCUUUAAUGGCUGGUGUUCUAACGUGGACCCGUUACCCGGGUUGCGGACAGUGUCUGGUGGGUAGUUUGACUGGGGCGGUCUCCUCCUAAAGAGUAACGGAGGAGCACGAAGGUUAGCUAAUCCUGGUCGGACAUCAGGAGGUUAGUGCAAAGGCAUAAGCUAGCUUGACUGCGAGAGUGACGGCUCGAGCAGGUGCGAAAGCAGGUCUUAGUGAUCCGGUGGUUCUGAAUGGAAGGGCCAUCGCUCAACGGAUAAAAGGUACUCCGGGGAUAACAGGCUGAUACCGCCCAAGAGUUCAUAUCGACGGCGGUGUUUGGCACCUCGAUGUCGGCUCAUCACAUCCUGGGGCUGAAGUAGGUCCCAAGGGUAUGGCUGUUCGCCAUUUAAAGUGGUACGCGAGCUGGGUUUAGAACGUCGUGAGACAGUUCGGUCCCUAUCUGCCGUGGGCGCUGGAGAAUUGAGGGGGGCUGCUCCUAGUACGAGAGGACCGGAGUGGACGCAUCACUGGUGUUCGGGUUGUCAUGCCAAUGGCAUUGCCCGGUAGCUAAAUGCGGAAGAGAUAAGUGCUGAAAGCAUCUAAGCACGAAACUUGCCCCGAGAUGAGUUCUCCCUGAGACUAUAAGUCUCCUGAAGGAACGUUAAAGACGAUGACGUUGAUAGGUCGGGUGUGUAAGCGUAGCGAUACGUUGAGCUAACCGAUACUAAUGAACCGUGAGGCUUAACCUUACAACGCCGAAG
Molecule: ribosomal RNA, 2927 nt
Filed under: Citrobacter sp. CF971
Lineage: Bacteria; Pseudomonadati; Pseudomonadota; Gammaproteobacteria; Enterobacterales; Enterobacteriaceae
Description: 23S ribosomal RNA
Rfam family: Bacterial large subunit ribosomal RNA
Source: RNAcentral